CACGUAGAUUUUACUGUGCCGAAGGAAAAAAUAGAAAAUGCGGCUCCUCUCGUCGAUCCCUGCUCUCAUACGCAAACGCAAGUCUUCUCUCUUCUCUCCCCCCGCGGCUCGCCGCCGCCGCCAUCACCACUCACGACGGCCGAUUCCGGCGAGCACCGGGGGCGGGUGGCAGAUCAACGAUCUCCCCACGCCCCGCUCCUUCCUCCCAUCCCUCCAGAUCCAACGGCGCCGAAGCCGAGGCCGAGGGUGGAGGCGACACCUCGUCCUCAUCCUCCUCGUCCUCCGCCGCCGUCUCCUCCUCCUCUAGUGCCCCUCCAGCGGCCGCAACAGCAGCCUCGCCGGCGGCGAUGAGGACGAGGACGGCGUCGACGACGGGGGCGGCGGGGAGUACGAACUCGUUCGGCGUCGUGCCCGUCAGGCCCGCCGCCGGGUACGGGGACCAGGAGGAAGAGGAGGCGAGAGAUUUGUUCGACUCCGACAACGAGGAGUACGUCAAGACCCUCCGCGUAGCAACUACCUAAUUCCAGCGCGGGAUGCGACAACGCAUUUGGCCGGAGGAGAACGUGGCAGCGGCAUCUCCUGGCGAUGGCGGUGGGCAGGCAAUGCUUCAAGGCGACGGGCUGAGGCGGCGGUGCAGGGAUCCGCUCGAUCUGCUGUUGCUGCUGAGGGCGGACGGGGGAGCCGGGUCGAGGUGGCAGGUUCAUCCAUGAUGCCAACGGAGCGAGACCAACGGGGAAAGGAACAGGGCGUGGCCCCACAUGGUGGCUUGCCGUCUGCUUCACUGUUUCAUACCUUUCUCUGUACAAUUUCUUCAGCUUCAGAAACUAUUUUAUUUUUAGAAGGGAUUUGAGAUGGUGCCCGACAUUAUAGUAAGUUCAAGACUGUUGCUGAAUGAGCGGUGUGUGCAACCAGACCUCCGUCCACUUGUUUCUAUGUUUGAAUAUUCACCGGUUCUUGAGAAUCUGACGCUUCAAUUGCGCAAGGGUUAGUUUACUAUGCCGAUCCGAGCCAGCAUCAGGCGCGCCAAGCUCGCCGUCCACAUGCCUCCUCUUCGUCUGCAGCCGCAGUGCCAAAUCGCUCCCCAUCCGAGCAGAUGACUGUGCGUGAAGCACUGAGUUGCGCCCUUGAUGAGAUGUCUGGCAAUGCUUCUGUUUUCUUAAUGGGAGAAGAGGUACCACGAUACCACCUGGAAGACUAAGUAGUAAUAUAUUUUUCUUUCCUUUAUUUGUGCCUCUAAAUACUUGUUAUUUCUCUGACAGGGUGGUUUGAAUAAAAACUACUUCUCAGUUUCCAUGUUUUUCGAUAUUUUGGUGCCUGUUUUUUAUAUUCAGUUUUGCAGAUUUUAAUUAUGGAUCUAAGGAUUCAAAUUUGUUCCAAGCUUUUUUCUUGCAGUAAAACUCUUACUAGAGACAACUGGAAAUAGGAAACCAAGUGAACUACCAGUUUUGUCUUGAACAAUCACUACUCUGGUUUUAUUAUGGCAUACCUAAAUUUAUUCUUAGAGAAAGCUUGACAUGCAUAUUGGAUUUGCUUAUGUAUUGUUUCAGUAACAUGAUUAUAUAGUAAUCUGUUUAUAACUAUGUAAGAGCCAAUAGGAGACAGAACAUUGUAGCUUUAUACUACUAUUACAGUUAUACAUGAUUCUAUAUAGCUAAAAAUAUGUCCUGUUGUAUUCAAACGACAGAUCCUUCUAAUACAACAGCUAUACAUUGGCAGAGAGAUAAUAUAUACUGGUUUCAGUCAGAUUUUGUUCUUCAUGUCCAUAUAUAAGUUCUCUUAUUAUCUCUUUGUGUACAUCUUCAAAUAGCAACUUAAUUGGUGUGGAAUUUAUGUUCCUGGUUUAUGUAGCUACAUAAAUAUCAGGAACUAUGUUGCAGUGUUUAUUCCUUAGCACUUUUGAUUUACAAAUAAGUCUACUAUUGUAUAAUCCUUGUAACUGAAGUUGGUUGUUCAAGCAAACACAAUGUGCACUGACAGAAGAUGGCAGGAACAAUGGUACACAUUCAAGUAUGUAUCUGCCAAAGUUGAUUAUGUUUAACUCUAGGCAUUGCUAUGUAAUGGUGUACUAUUCUUUGAAGAAUUUGUAGGAGGUACUAGAAAAGUAUGACUUGAUGAGGGAUGCCUUGAUUUCAAAAGACAUCCUGAAAGAAUUUAGUUUAGUAAAAUAUUGUAUAGCCUUCUCGUAAAAGUUUGAUACACUUUUCAAGAAAACAAACUUUGGUUAAUCAUUAAGAUAUAACUUUUCUCAUAUUUGAACAACAAGGUUAUUUGAGUUCUGCUAAAAAAGGUUAUUUUUUGUAACUUUUGCGAACUUUGUGGAAAGAAGCUGCAAAUAACUGAUUUCGCUGUCAAGUCUACAAUUCAAUGUUGAUCUAGAGGGUGGAAUUUUUAAACUUCAUUGAUGCUUUCUUGUCCGUUUUGAUCUAAUAUCUGUCUGAUGUGGUUUGUAUAAAGCUUAUGGUGGUAUAAUUAGUUUUGCUUUUUUUAGGAUAUAAUAAGGUUGUAGAUAGACGGAGACUGAAUUAGUUCACAUUACUUUGAUGUCUAUCGAGCCAAUGGGACAACAAAGGUAGUUCCUUCGCACAAUUUGAAGAAUGUUAUUUCAUAUUGCAUGAUAUAUCUGACUCAUUUCAGUGGGCCUUCAGUUAAUUUGAGGCAUCCUUUCCUAGGAUCUUACCUUGAUAUUCCUCUAUUUUCUCCUAUUCGUCCCAUGCUUUUUUAAGAACUGAAAUAAUUAUAACCAGUGUUACAAAUGUUUGCUGAGGAAAAGUCCUUGCAAAAAAGAAGAACCGGAAGAAGGCUUUCUAUCUUCACCAGUAUUUCCUUUUGUUUCUAAUUGUUGGCUCUUUCCUAUGGCCUAAGAGUAAGGAUUAAUGCUUUUGAUAUCUGAUUUGAGAAAACAGCAUCAUAGAACGUAAGUAGAAGGUAGACUGUAGCAUUGAUCAUUGCUAUUUUGUACAUAGACAGUUCAACGAACUGCUCUGAUAGGGGAUGUUGAGGGUGACGACGCCGACGAGCAAGUCGGCGUCUGUAAAGCUUUGCCGGAGCCAUUCCAGCUCUUUCAAAGCCACAAGGCAAGGAAGCCGAGGAACCAAGACGCCAACGGUGCGGAGCCGUUUGCCAUCGAGAGGACUAGGGCUGCCAUCAGGGACCUCUAAACCAAGCUCAACAUCUCCCUCCAUCAACAUCGUGUCCCGGAGGGUCGUCGCCGUUCGUGACGGCGAGCUACUGCCGCCGCAUCGUCAGACGGCGAGCUACUGCCGCCGCAUCGUCAGCCGCACGGUUAGAGGGAGGCAUCAAGGGCCUGCCACCGCUGUCGGGGCCGACAUGCGUGCAAUUUCUAUUAAUGCAUCUUAUGUUGCCAAACAGCAACAUGCUCCUGUCGAUCCUAUAUCAUUGUGGGCGUGGCAUACCAGUUUCUUCCUCAGAUGAUGUUCCAAUAUAGUAAGUUCCAUCAAGAAUUGCAUGUACAUGUGCCGCUAUCUUGAUCCAAAAAGGAAAGUAAAAAGGGUGUUCAUCUACCUGGCACCGCCCAGAUGCCCCUUAAGCGGCGCGCCCGUGGCGCGCCCCAACUACUAGUUCUUACUAAACAUGGCUAGAUUGGGGGCAAUGGAAUUAACUUCUUUUCUAACUUUAUCAAUCAAGUUUUCCUUGUUUUUUGACCGAAUACAUUUUUUUCUUCUUGUGAACCAACCAAUGGUUUGAUGGCUAGGAGGACAGUGGUAUCAGCAGCGCACGAGAGUUCGAGUCAUGGACUUGACAUUGGUGCUCGCAUUUCCCUGAAUUUAUUUCAUGUCUUUCGGCGAUGUGCGUUCAGUGGGAGGAGACGUUCCAGUCGACAACGAAGGUGUCGGUGUCAAUUUUGUCAAUCACAAGAUGAUACGCCGGCUCAGUCUCUUGGCGGUGCUCAUAAGGAUAGGGUGUGCGUGUGCGUGUUUAUGUGGGUGAGUGUAUGCUUGUGUAUGUGAGCGAUUUUAAUUGUAACGUGUUCAAAAAAAUAUGGAUUUUUUCAUUCAUAACAUGCCUAUGAAGCUAACCCAAAAUCUGAC
RNAcentral lists this ribosomal RNA (4049 nucleotides) under Triticum aestivum (bread wheat). RNAcentral describes it as "partial small subunit ribosomal RNA". The record is from RNAcentral. Lineage: Eukaryota; Viridiplantae; Streptophyta; Magnoliopsida; Poales; Poaceae.